CGGUUCGAGUCCGCUUACCUCCACUGGUCCACUACCUGAUAACUCAAAUUGGAGAUUGUUAUUUGUUAAAUGUGAUUUAGAUGUUGUUCAACUGAAUGAACCUAGCUUCCUGUCAUCCCUGAAUUAAUUUUAGGCUGAUAAGACGCUGGGCUCACUGAAUGUUCUAAAUGACAUUCAGUUUGUUCAGCA
RNAcentral lists this unclassified non-coding RNA (189 nucleotides) under uncultured cyanobacterium. Its description in RNAcentral is "partial 16S-23S ribosomal RNA intergenic spacer". The record is from RNAcentral. Lineage: Bacteria; Bacillati; Cyanobacteriota.